ACGGGGUGCUGAUAAACAUACACAACGUCAUUCAGGAUGAGGUGUACAGGCUGAGAAAAUACCCGUCGAACCUGAUCCGGAUAACGCCGGCGAAGGGAUUUGAG
This 104-nucleotide non-coding RNA is filed under the name Citrobacter sedlakii. Lineage: Bacteria; Pseudomonadati; Pseudomonadota; Gammaproteobacteria; Enterobacterales; Enterobacteriaceae. The record is from RNAcentral.